UCUGCAGCAGUUGUGAUGCAUAGUUCACCCGCAAGUCUCUAAUUGUUUGAGACUCCCUGAAGACAUAUACUCAGUGAUGAAGAUCACCUGGAGCAAGAAGGGGAAACAAACAGUCUCAGCUGAAGCGCUCGAUGAAAUUCAGCAGAACAGAAAACUGCUUUUUAGAAACACACAGAAGGGUGCAUUUAAGUGAAGACAUCUGACACUACUGUGUAAUGAUGACAUCAUCAAGCGCCGUCAUUGGAAAAUACAACCUUCUUCAGUGCUUGCAGUGGACGUCGAUGAAGAGGAUUAGAAACAGUUUUGGAAAGGGUCGCGGUGAGCUGGAGCUUAACCCAGCAGAAACAGGGCGCAAGGCAGGACUACACCCUGGACAGGAUGCCAGUCCAUCAUAGGGCACCACACACACAGGGUAAUUU
This is a long non-coding RNA of Polyodon spathula (Mississippi paddlefish), 419 nucleotides long. RefSeq lists it as uncharacterized. The transcript is spliced from 4 exons. NCBI's taxonomy places the organism in Eukaryota, Metazoa, Chordata, Actinopteri, Acipenseriformes, Polyodontidae. The record is from RefSeq and is a predicted model, not a curated record.